GUGGGGAAUAUUGGGCAAUGGGCGCAAGCCUGACCCAGCAACGCCGCGUGAAGGAAGAAGGCUUUCGGGUUCUAAACUUCUUUUACCAGGGACGAAACAAAUUACGGUACCUGGUGAAUAAGCCACGGCUAACUACGUGCCAGCAGCCGCGGUAAUACGUAGGUGGCGAGCGUUAUCCGGAUUUAUUGGGUGUAAAGGGCGUGUAGGCGGGACAGCAAGUCAGAUGUGAAAACCAGAGGCUCAACCUCUGGCCUGCAUUUGAAACUGUUGUGCUUGAGUGUCGGAGAGGUAAUCGGAAUUCCGUGUGUAGCGGUGAAAUGCGUAGAUAUACGGAGGAACACCAGUGGCGAAGGCGGAUUACUGGACGAUAACUGACGCUGAGGCGCGAAAGCGUGGGGAGCAAACAGGAUUAGAUACCCCGGUAGUCC
RNAcentral lists this ribosomal RNA (428 nucleotides) under uncultured bacterium. RNAcentral describes it as "partial 16S ribosomal RNA". It matches the Rfam family "Bacterial small subunit ribosomal RNA", at positions 354 to 796 of the family's 1533-position model. The record is from RNAcentral.